AUCCAGCUGACGAGUGCCAAAUAGGAAGAAACGCGCGUCAAACUGCAU
Molecule: non-coding RNA, 48 nt
Organism: Schistosoma curassoni
Lineage: Eukaryota; Metazoa; Platyhelminthes; Trematoda; Strigeidida; Schistosomatidae
Source: Rfam